RNAcentral lists this ribosomal RNA (280 nucleotides) under uncultured bacterium. Its description in RNAcentral is "partial 16S ribosomal RNA". It matches the Rfam family "Bacterial small subunit ribosomal RNA", at positions 335 to 612 of the family's 1533-position model. The record is from RNAcentral.
UGGCCUACGGGGGGCAGCAGUGAGGAAUAUUGGUCAAUGGCCGAGAGGCUGAACCAGCCAAGUCGCGUGAGGGAUGACGGCCCUACGGGUUGUAAACCUCUUUUGUCGGGGAGCAAGACCCGCCACGAGUGGCGGAGCGAGAGUACCCGAAGAAAAAGCAUCGGCUAACUCCGUGCCAGCAGCCGCGGUAAUACGGAGGAGGCGAGCGUUAUCCGGAUUUAUUGGGUUUAAAGGGUGCGCAGGGGGAGCAACAAGUCAGCGGUAAAAUCGUGGGGGCCAA